This 253-nucleotide ribosomal RNA is filed under the name uncultured bacterium. RNAcentral describes it as "partial 16S ribosomal RNA". It matches the Rfam family "Bacterial small subunit ribosomal RNA", at positions 524 to 776 of the family's 1533-position model. The record is from RNAcentral.
UACAGAGGGGGCAAGCGUUGUUCGGAAUUACUGGGCGUAAAGGGCGCGUAGGCGGCCUGCUCAGUCGAACGUGAAAUCCCCGGGCUCAACCCGGGAACUGCGUCCGAUACUGGUUGGCUUGAAUCCGGGAGAGGGAUGUGGAAUUCCAGGUGUAGCGGUGAAAUGCGUAGAUAUCUGGAGGAACACCGGUGGCGAAGGCGGCCACCUGGACUGUACCUGACGCUCAAACGCGAAAGCUAGGGGAGCGAACGGG